Heteronotia binoei (common prickly gecko) is the source of this 87-nucleotide small nucleolar RNA. RefSeq annotates it as small nucleolar RNA SNORD11B. The record is from RefSeq and is a predicted model, not a curated record. NCBI's taxonomy places the organism in Eukaryota, Metazoa, Chordata, Lepidosauria, Squamata, Gekkonidae. The transcript has a single exon.
UGAUGGCUGUGAUGAACCUGCCAUGUUGGCUCUCCUGACGUAUAAGCCAUGAAGCUGGCAAAGUCACUACCUCUUCUGAUGCCAUCU